UAUUUUUUAUAUUAAUAUAUUUUAUCAAACUUCAACAAACUCUGACAGUCUCACAACUGACCUCCCAUGAUGACAAUGACAGUACACACCCAGUACACACACUUCACACUCACCACACACACCAGUACAUGCCUGUCAGUACCACAAACACUUGUAUUUGCUGUAAGAAGUCCCUUCAAUUAUUGCAUACAAGUAUUCACACAUGAAUAUUCAAUACAUGUAUUCAUGUUUGUGCCAAGU
Molecule: long non-coding RNA, 240 nt
Organism: Haliotis rubra (blacklip abalone)
Lineage: Eukaryota; Metazoa; Mollusca; Gastropoda; Lepetellida; Haliotidae
Exons: 2
Source: RefSeq, a predicted model, not a curated record